Molecule: non-coding RNA, 244 nt
Organism: Paramuricea clavata
Lineage: Eukaryota; Metazoa; Cnidaria; Anthozoa; Malacalcyonacea; Plexauridae
Source: the annotation of a GenBank genome assembly
UGCUUCCCGUACGUGAAGAGACACUAUGUACAAUAUUUGUCUGCUGCCCACUUUAUUAACUUUACUUGGUGGUCAUCUUGGAGCAUAUCUUCGUUUGCACCUACCUCGUGGUCUGCAAACACAGAUUUGUUGCCGUCCAGGAGAAAAUGAUGACAAACUUCCAGAAUCAUUUUGGUUUUCAGGUUCUUCAUGUUGUUGAUGUUGUUGUCUUUCUGGCAGACAUACAGUUUAAAGAUAUGUUCAC